Molecule: ribosomal RNA, 433 nt
Filed under: uncultured bacterium
Lineage: Bacteria
Description: partial 16S ribosomal RNA
Rfam family: Bacterial small subunit ribosomal RNA
Source: RNAcentral
AACGAACGCUGGCGGCAUGCCUAACACAUGCAAGUCGAACGAGACCUUCGGGUCUAUUGUCGCACGGGUGCGUAACGCGUGGGAACCUGCCCUUAGGUUCGGAAUACCUCCCCGAAAGGGGUGCUAAUACCGGAUCAUGUCUUCGGACCAAAGAUUUAUCGCCUUUGGAUGGGCCCGCGUUGGAUUAGCUAGUUGGUAGGGUAAAAGCCUACCAAGGCGACGAUCCAUAGCUGGUCUGAGAGGAUGAUCAGCCACACUGGGACUGAGACACGGCCCAGACUCCUACGGGAGGCAGCAGUGGGGAAUAUUGGACAAUGGGCGAAAGCCUGAUCCAGCAAGGCCGCGUGAGUGAUGAAGGCCUUAGGGUUGUAAAGCUCUUUUACCCGGGAUGAUAAUGACAGUACCGGGAGAAUAAGCUCCGGCUAACUCCGUG